This is a non-coding RNA of Oryza brachyantha (malo sina), 167 nucleotides long. The record is from Rfam. Lineage: Eukaryota; Viridiplantae; Streptophyta; Magnoliopsida; Poales; Poaceae.
UGUAAUCUUUGACUCUUCGUUUUAUUUAAUUUUCUUUUGCGAUUGAUAUUUUUGUUUUUAUUAGAUGAUAAAUCAUAAAUAGUACUUUACGUGUGACUAUUUUUUUUCUAAUUUUCUGAAAAAUUUUCAAAUAAGACGGAUCGUCAAACACUGGGCACACAAAUCGA